This is a small nuclear RNA of Meriones unguiculatus (Mongolian gerbil), 107 nucleotides long. NCBI's taxonomy places the organism in Eukaryota, Metazoa, Chordata, Mammalia, Rodentia, Muridae. The record is from Ensembl.
GUGCUUGCUUCAGCAGCACAUAUACUAAAAUUGGAAAGACACAGAGAAAAUUAGCAUGGCACCUGUGCAAGUCUGACAAGCAAAUUCAUGAAGCUUUCUAUAUUUUA